UACGGAAGGCAGCAGUGGGGAAUAUUGCACAAUGGGCGCAAGCCUGAUGCAGCCAUGCCGCGUGUAUGAAAAAGGCCUUCCGGGUUGUAAAGUACUUUCAGUCGUGAGGAAGGUGUUAAGGUUAAUAACCUUAGCAAUUGACGUUAGCGACAGAAGAAGCACCGGCUAACUCCGUGCCAGCAGCCGCGGUAAUACGGAGGGUGCGAGCGUUAAUCGGAAUUACUGGGCGUAAAGGGCACGCAGGCGGUUAAUUAAGUUGGAUGUGAAAUCCCCGGGCUUAACCUGGGAAUGGCAUUCAAGACUGGUUAGCUAGAGUCUUGUAGAGGGGGUAGAAUUCCAUGUGUAGCGGUGAAAUGCGUAGAGAUGUGGAGGAAUACCGGUGGCGAAGGCGGCCCCUGGACAAAGACUGACGCUCAUGUGCAAAGGCUGGGGAGCAAACAGGGAUUAGAUACC
Molecule: ribosomal RNA, 453 nt
Filed under: uncultured bacterium
Lineage: Bacteria
Description: bacterial SSU rRNA
Rfam family: Bacterial small subunit ribosomal RNA
Source: RNAcentral